AUCAUUUUCUCAUUAUUUUAUAGAAUUGGUGUAAAAGCCCUAUUCCUUCAGGUCUCUGCAUCAAGGUUUAUUGCUGGAAAUAACAGGUACACUUUCUUGUUUCUCUGUCUUUUAUAUAAAAGCUUGUGACAGUCAUACUCAGCGCAGCAUUGUACUUUGGCUGCAAUAUAAUAAUUUUACAGUAUUGAAAGUAACAUUGUAAAUUCCUUUGCACUGCACAAAGCUCUUCUCAGUUAUUUAAUAUGAGAUUUUUUCCAUCUGUCUUUCAUGACAACUUUUGAAGAUACUGAUGUAAUUUAUUACUUUUUACAAUGAACUAAGUAUAACAAGAG
This 332-nucleotide long non-coding RNA is filed under the name Bos taurus (domestic cattle). RNAcentral's name for it is "long non-coding RNA NONBTAT023548". Lineage: Eukaryota; Metazoa; Chordata; Mammalia; Artiodactyla; Bovidae. The record is from RNAcentral.